Long non-coding RNA from Mustela lutreola (European mink), 3791 nucleotides. RefSeq lists it as uncharacterized. The transcript is spliced from 6 exons. NCBI's taxonomy places the organism in Eukaryota, Metazoa, Chordata, Mammalia, Carnivora, Mustelidae. The record is from RefSeq and is a predicted model, not a curated record.
GUUCAGUCAAUAAACACAAGGAAGGCACUGUUUGCAUACUUCAGCUGUCCUCAGGGUUAGCUCUCUGAGUCACGCCUCUCCUCCAACUCGGGAUUUAAAUCUGUUGGGAAGGCAGUAUAUGGAGGAUGAGAAGUCAAGAACCGAGGCCUGCUUCCGACCCGCUCGCUGGCUGUGUGACCUGGAGAGACGCGCCCUCCUGCUUAGCUGCCUGAGUCUCACUGCAGUUGGUGGGGUAGAGGCUGUGCUGUAUGGGCUUUCUAGCUCCUUCCGUAGGUGUAUACUCUGAAUGAACAGCCAAUGACUUGUCAGCGGCCAGAGGAAGAUGUGAUGGGAGAGAGAAGGUGGUGAGCUUGGAAGAGACAGACACAUUCCUUCAGGAAAGCUCCCAUAGGAUUCACGUUUGGUUCUCUCACCUGGCCUCUCCCACCGAAGGCAUGAUACAUAUUUAUUGAAUGUAUUGGCACAAGUUAUUUACAAAACCUUCGCUUGGAUUGUAGUUAGUUCCUCCUCACUCAAGCACUUCUCCUCCCUUCCCCCUCCAAGCCCACCUACUCUGGAAGCCUCCAAGAUCGGCCCGUCGGCGUUUGUCCUGAAACACACAGAAGGAUUUCUGCGCUAGAUACUGACUUUUUGGUAUUUCCUGCUGGAGCUCUGUCUGGGUGGAGUUGCCGCUGAAGUGCCAGAGUUUUCCUGUUUGUGCAGUGGAUUUUCAAAACCUUAAAUAAACUCUGUUGUGAUGUGUUCAGAAUCGUAACAACUCAACAGCUGUUUAUUGAGCACCUACUACGAGCCCGGCCCUGUUCCAGGGGCUGAGUGGAUGGUGGUGACCUCAGAAGACACCCGGUUCAGCGAGCUCUCAGUCAGGUCCAGGACACUGAUUAGUAAACAGGCACUUGCCCUCCACGUGGUGAGCUUGAGUCUCCCAAUUCCUUCUGCAUCUGCUGCGAGCGACCCUAGAGGCACAAGUCUCCUGAAGUCAGAGGCACCUACAGACGGACGGAGACAGCCUGUGGGAGGGAAGGCCCGGGACUGGGUGAAACAUUGCAUUUCCUGCUCAGAAGGAGCAGGGAGAGGUGGGGUCAGGCCGGGAAAGUGAAGGGCUCCCAAGCUUCCAACAAUUCGGGUCUUUAGAGGGAAUUUCAUGAUUUCAUGUGAAGUGAAUUUUAGGCCUGUCCAGCAGGCCCAUCUCUCCUCAAACACCAGCGAGGCGACACAAAAGUAUAUUCCAGAGCGGCUGGAGAAUUUAUUCGACAGAGAGAGAGGGGGAGGACAAGCAGGGGGAGCAGCAGAGGGAGAGGGAGAAGCAGACUCCCCGCUGAGCAGGGAGCCUGAUGUGGGACUCGAUUCCAAGACUUCAGAUCAUGACCCGAGCCGAAGGCAGACGCUUAACCGACCGAGCCACCAGGCUCCCCCUUACCAUGUUCCUGUGCACUUAUCACUGCAAGCCGUUUGCCCCGUGUGUUGGGGGACAGUCCUCGAGCUGCUGUAACUGAUUUGCAUCCCAGCCUGGACAGCGGACGUACCUGGCACUUAUGGGUGUUCACUGGUGGACCUCUUGGCCUCUGCAUGGGCCAGAAAUGCAUAACGUAUAACCCCCAGGGGUGACACGAGGCCUCCCGCCCAGCUCCGUACUUCUGGGUAUUUAGGGCAAGGUGACAUUGCUUUGCUCCGGGGGACCAAAAUUCAGCAUCAGCUGUGGAGCUGAAUCCAGAUAUGAGCCUGGAAGGCUGGGUGAAAUUUGAACGGAUUAUUCACAGGAAAUUUGAAUAUUAUUUUAAUGAAAUCUGAUGCCGCCUAAGCACAUAUACAUUGAGAACUACAGACACGUUCUUGGAUCCCUGUCCUUCUCAUCAAAAGCACACUUAGUCCUGAGUUCUCAUUAGGAAGCUGAGAAGCAUCCUGUUUCCUUCUAUUCCAACAAUGAUGAUUCCCAGCUAUAUAAAAUUUACAAACUGCUUUGGAAGCAUCUGUAGAGAAAGGUGCCAUAUGAAUGUAUGAGAUUAUUGAAAUAAAUGCUGAUAUAGAGAUUCCCCAGGUGGAUAGUUAAAAUAUACCCAGGCUCACACAUAACGCUCAUACCCCAUACUCAGGGUACUUUCCGCUCUGAUCAGCAGGGAUAAAUUUUCCUACUUGACAGUUGACUGUAAAUCAAAAGUGUGUUCUAAUAGUCACCAGAUUUCUGCUGCUGUGUGCUGCUGUUUUCGACAAUCCUUCACCUCCCGGGACACAGGACCUGAAGGAUCUUGGCACUUUCUCUCCACUGCACAUGGAGAGAGGUGCUUAGCAGCAAAGCAAAUAUGAGUGGAGAAUAUAAAUAAGUCAGGGUAGCCUUAGAAAAGUUGACGUCUGGAUCCACCAUUUUUUUCCCCAGUAGGUAACAGAAUAAGAAAUCAGGAGUUUCCCAGGUUUUUACCAAUGCAAAAGAAAAUACUUGUGUAACAGUAUAAAAGCUGGAGAGUAUUUGACCAUCAAUAAAUACUGAGUAAAUAAUUCUGAAGGUAAACACAAGCCCUUAUUUCCAUAAACCCUGAUUACUGGGCUAAACUAACUGAACUUUCUCCUUCUGAUUUUAUCCCUCAUAAUCCUGCCCAUCCAUGUUUGCUUGGAGGAGCUCAAAUAAACCAGACUGUUCCACACCCCAGUACCUUUGCACAUGCUGCCCUUUGUGCCUGGACCAGAAUGCUCCCUGUUAAUCCAGGUGGGCUGGGGCCACUUUCGGAUAUUUUAAUACCCAGUUACAGGAUAACCUUUCAUUUCCUUUAUGAAGCUUUUCUUGACAUAUUCUCCCACUCUUAGAACUGCCACUUUAUCCCGCGCAAAUGCACUCAUCUAUUUAACACAAACAUGGCUGGGCUCUCUUGGGAAGUCCUCUGCUCUCCCCCUGUACACUUUGAGGUCAUAAUCAAUACUCCACUGCUACCCAGUUGCCUCCUUGUGAUCUCCCAAGCCUCUUCCCAAAGCAUUUUGAGUCAUGUAUAUUUUGCUGAAAUGUUCACAAGGGAGGUCAGUGGAAGGCUUACACGGAACACCACGUGGGCAAACUUCGUAAAAUCGCCCCCAUUCCCAAAGCCUCUUCUCUCAUUAGCAGCAGGCUUCCUGCCUGCCUAGUUGUCACCCCAAUCCUAUUUAGCAUUUCAGCCCUUUCAACCCUUCCCCGUUCAUAAAGGAGAAAGCCUCAAAAUCCCUGAAGUUUCAGGGCCUUUCAUCGAACAAGCCAUCUCUUUGAGAUUCCUCUUAAAAGGCCAGGGUAACAACAUCAAAUACAUUUCUUCUCUUCCUGCUAAAGACUCGAGCUCCUUGAGGGUCGGAAUCAAGCAUACACACCUUGGUGUCUCCCAUGCAAAAUAUUUAAAAUAUUUGUGAAACGUCAGGAUAAGAGAAUCUAGCCACAGAAUAAAAUCUCUGAAGUUCCACUGUGACCAUGGCUUUCUUCUGCUCAAACACCUUCCGUACCUUCUCCACUCCUGCUCUGGCCAACUGCCCCUUCUUCCUGACUAUGAUGGCUAUGAUGGGCCGUCUCCCCUCAAGGCCACCAUGCAUAAUGUUGCCUUCAGGUGUCCAUUUGAGUCAUCUCUCCAGGCCUGGAAUAACCUGUGUCACUCAAGAGAGUGGCUGGUGGUGGGGUACCAUAACCCCAUGGAAGGCCACCGUGGAUGCAAUUGGUCUGGUCUUGUGGUCCAUUCAACUCCUAACCCUUCUUCAAGGCUCAAUGCCUCGCCGACCUCUGGAGAGGUCCCUGAGGGUUGCAGUCCAGACAUAAUUCACUCCCUUGAGUCUUCAGGUUAUAAGCC